AGGCACCUGGUCGGGGUGCCAGGCGGUCCGUCACACUAGUAAUCUCUUGCAUGGAUUAUUGUAACUCUGUUCUGAUAGGUCUUCCCACAAGUCGUAUUGCCCCGCUACAGUCUGUAAUGAAUGCUGUCAGUCCUUACAUUGGCUUCCAGUGUACUAUAGGAGUCAAUUCAAGGUACUAAUCCACACCUAUAAAGCACUGACAAAUUCCAGAC
Non-coding RNA from Pelobates cultripes (western spadefoot toad), 212 nucleotides. The record is from the annotation of a GenBank genome assembly. Lineage: Eukaryota; Metazoa; Chordata; Amphibia; Anura; Pelobatidae.